CAAUAAGCGGAGGAAAAGAAACCAACAGGGAUUGCCUCAGUAACGGCGAGUGAAGCGGCAACAGCUCAAAUUUGAAAUCUGGCUCUUUCAGGGUCCGAGUUGUAAUUUGUAGAAGAUGCUUCGGGUGUGGCUCCGGUCUAAGUUCCUUGGAACAGGACGUCAUAGAGGGUGAGAAUCCCGUAUGUGACCGGCUGCCUCCGCCCGUGUGAAGCUCUUUCGACGAGUCGAGUUGUUUGGGAAUGCAGCUCAAAAUGGGUGGUAAAUUUCAUCUAAAGCUAAAUAUUGGCCAGAGACCGAUAGCGCACAAGUAGAGUGAUCGAAAGAUGAAAAGCACUUUGGAAAGAGAGUUAAACAGUACGUGAAAUUGUUGAAAGGGAAGCGCUUGCAAUCAGACUUGCGCGCGGCUGAUCAUCCGGGGUUCUCCCCGGUGCACUCGGCCGCGCUCAGGCCAGCAUCGGUUUCGGUGGUUGGAUAAAGGCCUUGGGAAUGUGGCUCCUUUCGGGGAGUGUUAUAGCCCUCGGUGCAAUGCAGCCCACCGGGACCGAGG
Molecule: ribosomal RNA, 547 nt
Filed under: Calycina parvispora
Lineage: Eukaryota; Fungi; Ascomycota; Leotiomycetes; Helotiales
Description: LSU rRNA
Rfam family: Eukaryotic large subunit ribosomal RNA
Source: RNAcentral